GUGCCACUGACACGGCGUGCAACGAAAACAUGCGGUCUCUCCUUCACUGCAGCCGAGGUCACCAGCUGUCAGGCAGCUAGUGGAGGGAGCCGCCAUUCCUGUCUUCCUCUCCUUCUUUCCCUGUCUCCCUCGCUCCACUUCUCCAUUUGGGAGCAUGUGCCUCUCCGCUCUGGGUGCAUCAUGGGGGAACUUCAGGCUCAUGUGCUGACGAGGGGACGAGGGAGGCCUGGCUGUCUGUCACGGGGUUAUUCGCAGGGCGGAGACGGUUGAGCUGAUUCGCUGACACCGGCUGACUCGCACAACGGCUGGAAGGACCGAACAAAAGAUACGUUUUUCCCUCCAAACCUCUCC
Oncorhynchus tshawytscha (Chinook salmon) is the source of this 351-nucleotide long non-coding RNA. NCBI's taxonomy places the organism in Eukaryota, Metazoa, Chordata, Actinopteri, Salmoniformes, Salmonidae. The record is from Ensembl.